UCGAAGAAGAGCUAUGAGGCCUUAGGUGG
RNAcentral lists this non-coding RNA (29 nucleotides) under Homo sapiens (human). The record is from RNAcentral. Lineage: Eukaryota; Metazoa; Chordata; Mammalia; Primates; Hominidae.